This is a long non-coding RNA of Vidua chalybeata, 255 nucleotides long. RefSeq lists it as uncharacterized. Lineage: Eukaryota; Metazoa; Chordata; Aves; Passeriformes; Viduidae. The transcript has 3 exons. The record is from RefSeq and is a predicted model, not a curated record.
AUAAAAAAUAGAGGUCUGGGUGGGGCUGCCCACCCAGAUGGCAGUAUCUCUGCAGUGUUUCUGCUGUGUCACAUCUUCCAGUCCUUACCUGUCCUAUUUGGCAGAAACAGAAAAAGUACAUUAUUUCGUGUUAAAGAAAAGGAAGGAAGAUUACAGGAGCAAAUAGGAGAUGUGGUACAGAUGGCAAACUGAGGCCGAGAGAAAUCAAAUGGAUUGUCUGGGAUCACAUCAGAAAUACAACCAUGGUUGUGCAGG